ACGUUUUGAAGGUCAACUUGUGAAAUCAUAGUCAAGAAAGAAAUCAAGGAAAAAGGAAGAUCAUCAAUCGUGCUUGAUCUCCCAAUUGCACACAGCACACGCAGCAGCCACUGCCUCUCCUCUCUCGCAGACGCCCGCCGCCGCCGCCCCUCCCUCCGUCGCAGACACGAGCCGCGGCCCCCUCUCCUCCAUCGCAGCCGCCAGCCACCACGGCCAGCCCAUCUCCUCCAUCGCCGACGCGAGCCGCCGCCGCCGCCCCCUCCCUCCGUCGCAGCCGCCAGACGCCGCUGCUGCCCCCUCCCUCCGUCACAGCCGACAGCCAAGGUGAGUAAGACUAUAACUUCUUAAGAUAUUGGGACAGUGUUGGAUAUCAUAUAAAUUCAGACAACAAGCUGCGAGAACCUCUAUGACAGGUGCAUUUCAAGUGUGAUCCUCGCUAUUAUGUCUCAGAUUUUUAAUACUCAAAGUUUUUGGAUUGUUGUGCAGGAGGCGCUUGGUUUGAAUCGAAAGAAUCAAGAUUGUCACCGAUUAGAGUGUGCUGAACAACCAUUUGCAGUGUAAAGUCUGCCGUCCAAAGGGUUUUGGGGGCCUUGGCAUUGCUGAUCUUGCCACCCAAGGACGUACCCUUUUCUUUGGCUCCGCUGGCUGUGGUUGGCAUGGGUGGACGAGACCAAGCCUUGGCAGGGACUGAUGACUCCAUCUGACCAGGAGACGGCGGCAAUAUUCAGAGCAGUAACCCGCCUUACGGUUGGAGAUGGUAUGAAGAUUUCGCCAGUUUUGGUGCACAAGAGUCCCAAAUUUGUAUAAUUGUUGUAAUUUUGCGUUGAUACAAUAGUGAGUAGGUGAUGUAGCUAACAGACUUUGGAGGCUUCAGAUGUAUGUAAAGCUGGUAAACUUUUCGUGUUGAUGAAUUGAAAACUUUUGAAAUUUUCA
Lolium perenne is the source of this 933-nucleotide non-coding RNA. The record is from RefSeq and is a predicted model, not a curated record. Lineage: Eukaryota; Viridiplantae; Streptophyta; Magnoliopsida; Poales; Poaceae.